UACAUCAUUAAAGUGUGCAUUUGAGAAUCUAAUUUAGUACUUUGUGUCGAUCCAUUUUGUAGGAACUAUCUUAGAUGACAUUCUCCUAGGAUCUGUCGAAUCCUAAAGCGCAAAGGAACUUUCAUCACUUUAAAGAUCAAAAGUAUCAAAAGACGUGCUCUACUAUGACAGACUUACUCUAACGCAAAGGAAAUAGUUUCUUGUUGAAGUGUUCUACACGAAAGCUAACAAGAGAGAUUUUCCAGCAUGAAGAAGUAUGUGCAUUUAAUGCAAACAUUAAAUGCUCCAACGACCACAAACUUCAAACAUGAGCUAUUUGUUUAAAGACAAUGAACACUUGUUGAAGAAGGCCUAUAAAUACCAAAAGCUUUGAAGAAAUGGGAUACGAAUCCUACAUGCAUCCAUUCACACUUUCUAUAAAAAGCAUUAUGUAUAUUCUUGGAAAGUUGGAAACACUCUCAAAACACCUUGUAUAUGCUAAGAGAAAAGACUAAGAGCUUAGCUUUCAUAUUUGUUUGUAAGACAAUUAAGAGUUAGUCAGUGAGCAAACGAACUUCAAAUCUUUUGAUUUAUUUUUAGCUAGCAGUAACUUGGCAGGACAAAGAAUAUUGGUUUGUUUCAAGCUUGGUGUAAAGCUUAAGUUGUAGAGCCAAAAGUAGCAGUAACUAAUACUUGUAACAUUUGUGAAGUUAGUGAAACUUCGCUGUUAGCCAAGAACUGGACGUAUUCUCAAUGGUAGAGAUGAACAAUUAUAUAUCUUUCUGUCUUAUACACUUUCUAUUUAUCUUCCAUUUUAAAUUGAUCUAGGGUUUGAAUUUGAUUUUGUUUGGAAACACAUUUUGUUUUGCGAAAUCUGUUUCUAUC
Molecule: long non-coding RNA, 864 nt
Filed under: Glycine max (soybean)
Lineage: Eukaryota; Viridiplantae; Streptophyta; Magnoliopsida; Fabales; Fabaceae
Description: long non-coding RNA (GMAX_LNC003478)
Source: RNAcentral